This 1987-nucleotide long non-coding RNA is filed under the name Homo sapiens (human). RNAcentral describes it as "non-protein coding lnc-SLC11A2-7:2". The record is from RNAcentral. Lineage: Eukaryota; Metazoa; Chordata; Mammalia; Primates; Hominidae.
GUACGCGGUCCUGACUUGUGGCUAGGGGUUCCUCGGAACGCGUUCCUCAGGCUGCAGCGGGAGAGGGACGGUGCCUGCGGUUCCGUUUCUCCUUAGGAGCUGUACCCCACCCGCCCUACGUCCGCUUCCGGAGGCCAUGAGCAGCUGGGUGCUCGCGGGGGGCGUUUUCAUCGAUUAGUGGCGGCGCUGUCAACUCACCUGCCAAUUGACCUUGACCGACGCCGGCCCUGUCCUCUUGGAAGGAGAAAUGAAGAGUGAAGGCUUUGACUUCCUCAGCUUUUUUUUUUUUUUUUUUUUUUUAGAUGGAGUCUCUUUUUUUUUUCCGAGAUUGAGACGGGGGUCUGUGGCCCAGGCUGUAGUGCAGUGGUUCGAUCUCGACUCACUGCAGCCUCCAACCCCGGGAUUCAAGCGAUUCUCCAACCUCAGCCUAUGGGGCAGCUGGGACCACAGGCGCGCGCUACCACGCUCGGCUUGAAGAGAUGAGGACUCUAUGUUGCUCAGGCUGGUCUUGAACUCCUGGGCUCAAGUGAUCCUCCGCCUCGGCCUCUCAAAGUUCUGGGAUUACAGGCGUGAGCCACCGUGCCCGGCCUUACUCAGAUUUUUCUUAAUCCCAUAAAGUAACAAUGAGUUGUGUCCUUUAACCCAUGUGGAAGGAUUUUCUACAGAAACGGAUUUACAAUGAGACAUAACGAUGUGGCCGGGCGCGGUGGCUCAUGCCUGUAAUCCCAGCACUUUGGGAGGCCCAGGAGGGCGGAUCACCUGAGAUCGGGAGUUCGAAACCAGCCUGACCAACAUGGAGAAACCCCGUCUCUACUAAAAAAUACAAAAGUAGCCGGGUGUGGUGGCGAAUGCCUGUAAUCCAAGCUACUUGGGAGGCUGAGGCAGGAGAAUCGCUUGAACCCGGGAGGCGGAGGUUGCGGUGAGCCGAGAUCGCACCGUUGCACUCCAGCCUGGGCAACAAGAGCAAAACUGUCUCAAAAAAAAAGAAAAAAGAAACGUAACAGAGUGUUAAUAAAAUGUUAUGCCGUCAUUUUAAUGCAUUACAAAAACUUCAGAAUAUUUUUGGGUCUACCUCUCUGGAAGGGAGUUAUGCCUUAUUCUUAAUUUUUAAAAUUUCCUUGUAAAAUGCUGUUUUAUGGCUUUAAUGAUAGUAAACGACAAAAGAUAAACUUUUUUAGUAUGCUCUUGACAAAAGUUCCGAAAGUUUUCUGAAAUUUUACUAGUUUGAGAUCCCCAAUUUAGGAAACCGAUUUAGUGGAGAGAGCUUUGCCUAUUUUUGGCCCUUUGGGUCGGAGAAUGUGAUAUAAAGCCGAAGAUUUACUCUGCCAGACAGUCUUAAGAGGUCACUAACGUUUAGCUAUUGACAUUCAGCAAAAAUUGUGGAUUACCUAUUAAAUGCUAGACCAGGGGACAACUGUUAUUAAGUCAGUGUUUCAGCAUUACUGAAAGAAAAGUGGCCUAUAAAGGUAAGGGAGAGGAAGAGUUUCUCAGAUACCAGCCUUCGAUGAUUAACAAAGUCCAGCCUCAAUCAUUCUGGAAUCCAGAAUAUUGAUGGCUGGAAGGCUGGUUGUACAAGUUUAUUGGGCUAGGCGUCGUGGUUCAUGACUGUAAUUCCAGCACUUUGGGAGGUGGGGGAGGGCAGAUCACCUGAGGUCAGGAGUUCGAGACCAGCCUGGCCAACAUGGUGAAACCCCGUCUCUACUAAAAAUACAAAAAUUAGCCAGGUGUGGUGGCACACACCUGUAAUCCCAGCCUCUCAGGAGGCUGAAGCAUGAGAAUCGCUUGAACCUGGGAGGCAGAUGUUGCAGUGAGCCAAGAUCACGCCACUGCACUCCAGCCUGAGCCACAGAGGGAGACUGUCUCCAAAGAAAAAAAAUAAAAACCUGGAAAUUUUAUUGAAAAAUGAAACCUUCAAAAUGUGCCUUGACUACUUCUUUAGCUCCUCUUCCUUAGUGCCUUAGGUCUAAAUCAAAUGUUACGCUCGACC